UUGCAUUUAGUUUCAAAGUACUAUUUUUGUAGCUGCUUUGUUGUUUCUCUUUUUUUUUCCAUUUAGGGUGUGGCUGGUAUUCAUUCUGUAGCAUGCCCGACCUCCAGUGGUGUCUUUGAAGAAUAACAUCACUGCUAGAUCUGAAACAACAGGAGCCACUGUGCAGAGAACCUACUGAGCAAAGAAUUGGUUGUUGGAAUUACUGGAAGUGUUUAUGUCCAUGUUUUAAUGAUAAGGGCACUGGAAUUAAAACUUCUGUCACUGCU
Molecule: long non-coding RNA, 266 nt
Filed under: Dasypus novemcinctus (nine-banded armadillo)
Lineage: Eukaryota; Metazoa; Chordata; Mammalia; Cingulata; Dasypodidae
Description: lncRNA (ENSDNOG00000051718.1)
Source: RNAcentral